Molecule: ribosomal RNA, 497 nt
Filed under: uncultured bacterium
Lineage: Bacteria
Description: partial 16S ribosomal RNA
Rfam family: Bacterial small subunit ribosomal RNA
Source: RNAcentral
GAUGAACGCUGGCGGCGUGCCUAAUACAUGCAAGUCGAGCGAACAGACGAGGAGCUUGCUCCUCUGACGUUAGCGGCGGACGGGUGAGUAACACGUGGAUAACCUACCUAUAAGACUGGGAUAACUUCGGGAAACCGGAGCUAAUACCGGAUAAUAUAUUGAACCGCAUUGUUCAUUAGUGAAAGACGGUUUUGCUGUCACUUAUAGAUGGAUCCGCGCCGCAUUAGCUAGUUGGUAAGGUAACGGCUUACCAAGGCAACGAUGCGUAGCCGACCUGAGAGGGGGAUCGGCCACACUGGAACGGAGACACGGUCCAGACGCCUACGGGAGGCAGCAGUAGGGAAUCUGCCGCAAUGGGCGAAAGCCUGACGGAGCAACGCCGCGUGAGUGAUGAAGGUCUUCGGAUCGUAAAACUCUGUUAUUAGGGAAGAACAAAUGUGUAAGUAACUAUGCACGUCUUGACGGUACCUAAUCAGAAAGCCACGGCUAACUACGUG